GGCCCGGCGGCGGCCUCCCCCCCUUCUUUCCGUUUCCUUCCCUUCUACGCUGUGCCCUGAGCUCCCUACGAAGGGCCACGCUGCUCGUAGCCCAUGUUUCCGUGGGAAUAAGAAGCCGCGAGCGGCCUUCGCUGGGUGCGCGGUGCUGCUGAGGGAACACCCUGCGGCCGCGCUGCCCCCGGCUGACCCUCACUGUCUUUUCCUCUUUCCUCAGGCUGUGCUGACGCCUGACCCGGCCUGGCCCCAUCCAGCUCGCUCCUGCCUUCUAAAGUUGAAAAGUUUUGGAGUGCAGCAGUGAUUUGUAAGAUUGCUCCUCUAAGCAGAAAAUUCCUCCGGCUGCUGAACACGGUAAGAACGGCUACAAGGUCGCAGAGACCUCCGGUUUGUGAAAAACAUUCCGGUAAGUCACGUGGCAGUUGGGUGAAACGUGCGGGAAUGCGGAGACUUGCAAGUGCAUGGUGUUGUCAUGGAAACUGCAACCCUAGAAUGGGAAGAAAAAAGGGCAGCGGAGACAAGCCACGGUGCAAUCACCGUGAGACUUGAAACACACCCCACCCCCACCCCCCCCGAGCGCUGUAGAUCCAUGGUGGUGACUAUUUUUGCAACUCUAUCCUGAAUGCUUGCUUGAUUUCUGCUUUUUAAUUCUAUCGCUACUAUUUUUUUUUAUUUUUGAUAAUAAAAGUUGGUUUGGGUUUAUGGCAUUUGGUCUCGUUUGUGUCUUAAUCUCGCUCUACAGAUCAUAUCGAAAGCCUCCCCUGACACUGGACUGGGGGCAGAUGGAUGGGGAAAAGAGGUCGAUUCCUGACCCUAAGGGAGCUGGGGAAAAAAAUCACUGGUGAAAUGGAGUGGAACAGUAUUUGUUGGGGUAGCUUGAGGCCUUAUUUGUGCAGUAAUGGAAUUGCACAAAACAGCAGAAACAGGCUUGGUGGAAAGUCACAAAGGCCUCGGCUUAGACCCCUGUAAUCCCCCAUUCUUUCCAGUUCAUCAGCCCCAGAGCAGACUUUAGCCCUCUUAAGGCGGGUGGUGGAGCACUGGGGGAAGGCACAUGGCACGCUGUUUCAGGACUGGGAACACGUGGCUGGACUUCAUCGGCAAAUAGCUACGGGGUUGUGUGCUGCUUGCUAAGCAGUAAGGUUUCUUAAUUUUACCGUUUUUUUAAAUUGUUGCAAAUAUUGGUGAGUGAUUGUGAUGAGAUGCUCACAACAGA
This is a long non-coding RNA of Athene cunicularia (burrowing owl), 1207 nucleotides long. RefSeq lists it as uncharacterized. NCBI's taxonomy places the organism in Eukaryota, Metazoa, Chordata, Aves, Strigiformes, Strigidae. The transcript is spliced from 3 exons. The record is from RefSeq and is a predicted model, not a curated record.